Long non-coding RNA from Helianthus annuus (common sunflower), 370 nucleotides. RefSeq lists it as uncharacterized. The transcript is spliced from 2 exons. NCBI's taxonomy places the organism in Eukaryota, Viridiplantae, Streptophyta, Magnoliopsida, Asterales, Asteraceae. The record is from RefSeq and is a predicted model, not a curated record.
UCUGAGUUUGAUCUUAUCUAGGUCAUUCUCAAGUGUAUGCCUGGCGAGUCUCAAUUUUUGAAACCGUAAGGUGAGUUGCCGGAGAAUACUAGGUUGAAUGAAGGUGCUUGAAUAGUCCAUCUCCAACUUUAUACGUCUUGCUUCACAUUAAAAGGUGGAUAAUAAUGUCCUAUAUUAUUAGUGCGGCACAUAUUUGAAAAGUGAUAAACAAGACUAAUUCAACAGGUGGCUGUUUACAGUACUUUGUGAGGCUUAAACCUAAAUUCGACAAGGUCUAACUAUUUACCACUCUUUGCAAAACAAGUUUUCAUCUCAGGUUCUUAUUCCUUUUAUUAUUAUUUUUCAUACUCCAAUGAGCAUGGACCUACAU